Molecule: ribosomal RNA, 426 nt
Filed under: Triticum aestivum (bread wheat)
Lineage: Eukaryota; Viridiplantae; Streptophyta; Magnoliopsida; Poales; Poaceae
Description: partial small subunit ribosomal RNA
Source: RNAcentral
AUGGCGAGGCAUUGCUUCCUCGCCGUGCUCCUCAUCGGGGUAGUAGCAGCCUCCACUUUCCACCAAGUAGCCACCGCUGGCCGAGGCCUUGCCGCCAUUGAGAAGUUUGCAGAGCCAGAGCCAAAGCCAGAACCCAAACCAGAGCCAGUGCCAAAAACUAUGCCGCACUCAGAGCCGGAGCCAUGCAAACCUGAACCGAUGCCCAAACCCAAACCAAAGCCUGGAUCCAAGCCUGAGCCCAAACGCAAGCCCAAGCCGAUGCCAAAACCGAAGCCAAAGCACAAGCCCGAGCCCUGCUCCAAACCAAAGCCAGAGCCUAAGCCCGAGCCAAUGCCGAAACCGGAAACAAAGCCGGAGCCCAAGCCUAAACCUGAACCGAAACCAAAGCCGCCUCCGAAGUGCAAACCACCGACAACUCACAUUUGA